Molecule: non-coding RNA, 76 nt
Organism: Myotis brandtii (Brandt's bat)
Lineage: Eukaryota; Metazoa; Chordata; Mammalia; Chiroptera; Vespertilionidae
Source: Rfam
GGCAGUUCUCAGGUGAUGCACCCCGGAAUCAGGCUCCCUCCUCUCUGGUUCCAGGGUUGAGCGUCGGUGUUCAGUG